CCCUUAGAUGUUCUGGGCCGCACGCGCGCUACACUGAUGCAUUCAACGAGUCUAAAACCUGCUCUGAUAGGGGUGGGUAAUCUUUUGAAUGUGCAUCGUGAUUGGGAUAGAUGAUUGCAAUUUUUCAUCUUCAACGAGUAAUGCCUAGUAAACGCAAGUCAUCAGCUUGCAUUGAUUACGUCCCUGCCCUUUGUACACACCGCCCGUCGCUCCUACCGAUUGAAUGAUCCGAUGAAUAUCAUGGAUUGAGGAUGCAAGUAGGUUCGCCUAUCUUCAUCUUCGAGAAGUGAAGUAAAUCUUAUCAUUUAGAGGAAGGAGAAGUCGUAACA
Molecule: ribosomal RNA, 329 nt
Filed under: uncultured eukaryote
Lineage: Eukaryota
Description: partial 18S ribosomal RNA
Rfam family: Eukaryotic small subunit ribosomal RNA
Source: RNAcentral